GAUGAACGCUGGCGGCGUGCUUAACACAUGCAAGUCGAACGAAGCAUUUAAGACAGAUUACUUCGGUUUGAAGUCUUUUAUGACUGAGUGGCGGACGGGUGAGUAACGCGUGGGUAACCUGCCUCAUACAGGGGGAUAGCAGCUGGAAACGGCUGUUAAUACCGCAUAAGCGCACAGUACCACAUGGUACAGUGUGAAAAACUCCGGUGGUAUGAGAUGGACCCGCGUCUGAUUAGCUUGUUGGCGGGGUAACGGCCCACCAAGGCGACGAUCAGUAGCCGACCUGAGAGGGUGACCGGCCACAUUGGGACUGAGACACGGCCCAGACUCCUACGGGAAGCAGCAGUGGGGAAUAUUGCACAAUGGAGGAAACUCUGAUGCAGCGACGCCGCGUGAGUGAAGAAGUAGUUCGCUAUGUAAAGCUCUAUCAGCAGGGAAGAUAGUGACGGUACCUGACGAAGAAGCUCCGGCUAAAUACGUG
Molecule: ribosomal RNA, 481 nt
Filed under: uncultured bacterium
Lineage: Bacteria
Description: partial 16S ribosomal RNA
Rfam family: Bacterial small subunit ribosomal RNA
Source: RNAcentral